Molecule: long non-coding RNA, 352 nt
Filed under: Elaeis guineensis (African oil palm)
Lineage: Eukaryota; Viridiplantae; Streptophyta; Magnoliopsida; Arecales; Arecaceae
Description: long non-coding RNA (EGUI_LNC008136)
Source: RNAcentral
UCUGCUCCUCAUGCAUAGAUUUUGAUGGAGAUCGAAGAGGAAGAAUAUCUGCGACGGCCUCCGCCUUUGAAGGCAAAGGGCCUCGACUGGUGAAAGUACUGUCGAUUUCAUCGAGGCCAUGGCCAUAACAUCGAGCAGUGUAUCCAACUUAGGGAUGAAAUCGAGGCUCUCAUACACCGAGAGUAUCUCAAAAAAUUUCGAAAAAAAUCAUCGACUCGACCCAUCCCCGACCGACGAUCCCAACCGACUGAGGAGGCAGCGAACAAUCAGCCCACGGCCAGAGUCAUCAACAUGAUCUCCAAACGACUAGACUAGGGGACGAUUGCUGGAGGGGAGUCAACGAAGAAGUUGC